This 248-nucleotide ribosomal RNA is filed under the name uncultured bacterium. Its description in RNAcentral is "partial 16S ribosomal RNA". It matches the Rfam family "Bacterial small subunit ribosomal RNA", at positions 526 to 779 of the family's 1533-position model. The record is from RNAcentral.
CGGGAAGAGCGAGCAUUAUUCAAAAUGAUUAGGCGUAAAGGGUUUGUAGGUUGUUUUAAGUUGAAAGAAAAUAAUAAAGCUCAACUUUAUCUCUUUUUCAAAACUAAAACUAAGAGUAUACAUAGAGGAUAAUAGAAUUUUUAUUGGAGGGAUAAAAUCUAUUGAUAAUAGAAGGAAUAUCAAAAGCGAAAGCAAUUAUCUGGGUAUAUACUGACACUGAGAACGAAGCUUGGGUAGCGAACGGGAUU